UGCCAUCCAACUCAAUCAAUUUGUCUGUCAAAAUGAGGGGGUAAAAAUAUUAUUUCGGGUUCUUCAUCUAGCAUUGACCCCAACUCCACCUUUUUCUUCCAUCAUUGACCCAACAAACCCACCUCCAGAAUCUGACUAUUUUGGAAAGCCACCUUGUUCUUCCAUCAUCAAUUCAACAACCCCACCUCAAGAAUCUGACUAUUUUGGAAAGCCAUUUGUUAGAGGAGACUUUGUGCAUAAAAUUCCAACGUUUUGGAAUUUCAGAAAGACAAAAAAAAAAAAAAAAAAAGCAGCGAGAGAGAAACUUACCCUACCUAACAAUUCUCUUCUUCAUGGAAACUUCUCAAUUCCACAAUCUCUUGGCCUCUUCCCAUGGUUUUCACCUUUUCUUUUGCUUUCGUUUGUGUUCAUCAGUCUCCCUCUUUGUCUCUCCCUCUCUCUCCCGCAACUUAUU
RNAcentral lists this long non-coding RNA (454 nucleotides) under Prunus persica (peach). RNAcentral's name for it is "long non-coding RNA (PPER_LNC008601)". Lineage: Eukaryota; Viridiplantae; Streptophyta; Magnoliopsida; Rosales; Rosaceae. The record is from RNAcentral.